This is a long non-coding RNA of Rhipicephalus sanguineus (brown dog tick), 1466 nucleotides long. RefSeq lists it as uncharacterized. NCBI's taxonomy places the organism in Eukaryota, Metazoa, Arthropoda, Arachnida, Ixodida, Ixodidae. The record is from RefSeq and is a predicted model, not a curated record. The transcript has 4 exons.
CAUGGCAGCGCGCAGAGCAGCUGUAGAGCAGCGGCGUGUUCGUGUGGUGGACGUUUUUUUUUUCUGUUACACCGCAGCCGUCGCCGCUGCAUAGCGUAAUGGACGGUGCAGCAAAGUCCGGAGGUUACAGAAUUCAUUUGAAGAGCACACGAUGCUUACAUUUUGGCAGAAUAGCGAGCGGUAAGGCGGAUGCAACCGGGAUGCAGCGUUGAUCCAGGGGAAUCGAAAUUGUUUCGGCGUCGGCAUGUUUUCUUAAAGCAUUGCAGAGAUGAUCUGAAGUGUUUUAGCACGAAUGCUCAGCUUCAACAGCAGCAUCUUUCAACUGAGUGCUGGCAUUGAGUGCUUCACUUCAGAUGAAAAACUAAAGCCACAUCCCAGGGUCAGUGGCUUUCCCAGGAACGCCUAGGACGUAGGAAUGCAUACUUGUCAUCCUUCACGCUCACACAGCAUGGCUCCCAGAAAUGGAAAGUUCACAAAGCUGCUGAAGGGCCCUUUAAUGAAGAUUACAAACACUACAAUAUGGAAGAGGAAAGUAUCACUAUCAAAGCCAGCUGUUGCACAGCUACAGCACAGGUUUUGCUUGUCAAUCACUUGGUGGCUGAGUAAGCGCGGCAUUUCGCUGCUAAGCACACGUGCAGGGGUUCCAUUCCUGGCUAUGUUGGGCACAGUUGGACUGGGGGAACAAAAUUCUUGUAUUUCGAUACAGGUUUGCUUAUUCAAAAUUACAUGAGCUUUGCUCUUUUGCGUGCAUGCGCAGUCUCUACUGACUUGCUCAGCUUCUUUGACAUGUCUCUAGCAAAAAAAUGCAUUCGUAGCAUUGUGUAUGUCCUAAGCACGGUUGCUGUAAAGUUGUCCUUGUGUUCUGCACACCCGAGUUUUGGAAACUUUGUUAACUCUAGAGCAUCGAGAAGUUCCCAAAAAAUGUCACUGCACAGUUGAAAGCGGUUAAGUGCGCUUGAGACAGUGCUUUCUAUGCUUCUCAGUGACAGGAACAUCUUCUCUGUGGGGUGCUUCAGGCUCAUUUCUUUAAAUGACCUAGCAAAUGUUACCCAUGCUGCCGGCAUAUGUGGAGCGUCAGUUUGAAUGUCAGCUAAGCAGUUUAAACAGCCUUUUUUCUUUGAGAUUUUGUGCACAAUGUAGCCAGCAAGAUAAUAUACUACACAGUCUUCUGCAGUUGCCUUGCUGUAUGGGUGGUCCUUGCUUGUGCUGGGAAGCGCAGCCAUUGUGCUCGUGUCUUGCAGAUCAAAGCAGAGCUCUUCAAGCUUUUUCUCUAAGUGUGCGUGGAGCUUUUCUUUGUGGCACUCAUUGUCUUUGACACCAGCCUCGAGCACACCUGAAAGAACUGGCAAGAUAUCCUCCUGGGCUUCUACAUUGCCUUUGAUUGCUGCUUUCAUUGGGGCAUAGAUGGUCAAGAGCCGAAAGAUGUAGGAGAAGUUCACUAUGGUGGGGUGAUCUUCAUGUCCUCC